AUAUUAUAUUGUAAUAUUAUAUUGUGAGAUAGAGAUAUAUUUACAUAUUUAUGUCAGAGAUAAACUUAUAUUUUGCCGUUAUUAUAAACUUGUAUUUUAUGGAAAGGGCAAAAAAAAAAAAAAAAAUUGAAUUUUAUCUUAGGCAGACCUAUCUGUUCUCCUCCUCUCUAUCUCCCCCAGUUUCCCAUUGUUGCGCACUCAACGUUCUCCAUCGAAGCACAUUCCACGUUCUCCAUUGAGCCGCAUUCUGAUAUUUCUAUUUUUACCCCUCAUUAAAGCAGCUUCUAAGAUUUUAGGCAGAGAGAUGAGCGGAAUGGCGUUUUCGAGCACCAUUGCCCACUGUCUGCUGCCUCAAUCCGCUAUGUCUUUAUCUUAUAGUAGGAACAACCGCAUCACUAUUCCAAUUUCAUCUUUUUCAUUUCGAAGACGACGUGGAAAUUCACAGAAUAAUGCUACCAACAACAUUAUCUGUUGUUCCACAGUCUCGACCUCGAAUUCAGCAGCCAAUUACCAGAACACAAACACGGGUACUUUUGGAAUCGAUGGUGCAGAAGUACUAGAUUGUGUGAUUGUAGGUGGUGGAAUCAGUGGUCUUGGCAUUGCACAAGCUCUCUCUACAAAAUACUCCUCCCGCUCCCCAAAUUUCAUUGUCACGGAGGCUAAAGAUCGAGUUGGCGGGAACAUCACUACUGUGGAGGCCGAUGGCUAUAUCUGGGAAGAAGGACCUAACAGCUUCCAGCCAUCUGAUGCAGUGCUCACCAUGGCUGUUGACAGUGGAUUGAAAGAUGAAUUGGUGUUUGGAGAUCCUAACGCCCCUCGUUUUGUGUUGUGGAAUGGAAAAUUGAGGCCUGUACCGUCCAAGCCCACUGACCUCCCUUUCUUUGACCUUAUGAGCUUCCCCGGCAAGAUUAGGGCUGGACUCGGUGCUCUUGGCUUACGUCCUUCUCCUCCAGCUCACGAGGAAUCUGUUGAAGAUUUUGUCCGUCGUAAUCUGGGUGAUGAAGUAUUUGAACGCUUGAUUGAACCCUUUUGUUCAGGCGUGUAUGCUGGCGAUCCUUCCAAGUUGAGUAUGAAAGCUGCUUUUGGCAAAGUUUGGAUCUUGGAGCAAAAGGGUGGUAAUAUCAUUGGUGGCACCCUCAAAACAAUCCAGGAAAGAAAGAACUAUCCAAAGCCACCUCGAGACCCGCGCCUCCCUAAACCAAAGGGCCAGACAGUUGGAUCCUUCAGGAAAGGACUCACUAUGUUGCCAACAGCCAUUUCUGAAAGGCUUGGCAGCAAAGUGAAACUAUCAUGGACCCUUUCUAGUAUUGUUAAGUCACCAAAUGGAGAAUAUAAUCUGACUUAUGAAACACCAGAUGGACUGGUUUCUGUACGGACCAAAAGUGUUGUGAUGACUGUCCCAUCACAUAUUGCAAGUAGCCUCCUUCGUCCACUUUCAGAUGUUGCUGCAGAAUCACUUGCAAAGUUCUACUAUCCACCAGUUGCAGCUGUGUCACUUUCUUAUCCUAAUGAAGCAAUUAGAUCAGAGUGUUUGAUUGAUGGUAAACUUCAAGGAUUUGGGCAAUUGCAUCCCCGCAGUCAGGGUGUUGAAACCUUGGGAUCAAUUUAUAGUUCAUCGCUUUUCCCUGGUCGAGCACCACCUGGUAGGACCUUAAUUUUGAGUUACAUUGGAGGUUCUACAAACCCUAGUAUAUUACACAAGACGCAAGAUGAACUUGCUGGGGCAGUUGACAAGGACUUGAGAAAAAUUCUCAUAAAUCCUAAUGCAAAAGAUCCCCGGGUUUUGGGCGUGAGAGUAUGGCCCCAAGCAAUUCCACAAUUUUUGAUUGGCCACUUUGAUCUGCUUGAUGCUGCAAAAGCAGCUCUAACUGAUGCUGGGUUCAAGGGAUUGUUUCUUGGUGGCAACUACGUUUCAGGUGUUGCAUUGGGGCGAUGUAUAGAGGGUGCUUAUGAAUCUGCAGCUGAGGUAGUGGAUUACCUCUCACAAUACUCAAACAAAUAGGGCUGUUGCUAGGAUUAGUUGUCCGAGUAUUUUGCUAACAAGACCACAAAGAUUGCAGUGAAAAUUUUCUUAUCAAGGGUUUAGAAUACAUUAUUUCAAGCACAAUGAACUCAUGGUUGGUAGCCAAACCCCAUGAGAUUUGUAAAUUUGCCACACAUUAGCACGCAUUGGGAGCACCCUGCCUUUUUCCCGGGUUCUCGCCUAAAUAGGUACACCAAGCUAUUGGUGUGCUCGGGAACAUUGAAGAAUUUGUUUUCUCUACUUUUCUCCUUAAUAAAUGUAUGAUACUAGUGCUAAAAUCAUACUUCAUCUGUUAUAGAUUGAAACCCAUUCCCCCCGCUCCCCCCCCCCCCAAAAAAAAAAAAAAAAAAAAAAACCUGUAUUAUUAUUAUUAUCAUUUUUCGGAUCAAUCACGUGUUGCCACGUGUCCAAGUAACCUAGUUUAAUAGGUUAUUGAUAAGUUGUUAACUAGAUGUGCCUAAAAAAAGAAAAUGCACCCUAAAGUUAUUCCAUAA
Molecule: RNA transcript, 2517 nt
Organism: Chenopodium quinoa (quinoa)
Lineage: Eukaryota; Viridiplantae; Streptophyta; Magnoliopsida; Caryophyllales; Amaranthaceae
Gene name: protoporphyrinogen oxidase 1, chloroplastic-like
Exons: 11
Source: RefSeq, a predicted model, not a curated record